GACGAACGCUGGCGGCGUGCUUAACACAUGCAAGUCGAACGGAAAGGCCCUGCUUUUGUGGGGUGCUCGAGUGGCGAACGGGUGAGUAACACGUGAGUAACCUGCCCUUGACUUUGGGAUAACUUCAGGAAACUGGGGCUAAUACCGGAUAGGAGCUCCUGCUGCAUGGUGGGGGUUGGAAAGUUUCGGCGGUUGGGGAUGGACUCGCGGCUUAUCAGCUUGUUGGUGGGGUAGUGGCUUACCAAGGCUUUGACGGGUAGCCGGCCUGAGAGGGUGACCGGCCACAUUGGGACUGAGAUACGGCCCAGACUCCUACGGGAGGCAGCAGUGGGGAAUAUUGCACAAUGGGCGGAAGCCUGAUGCAGCAACGCCGCGUGCGGGAUGACGGCCUUCGGGUUGUAAACCGCUUUCGCCUGUGACGAAGCGUGAGUGACGGUAAUGGGUAAAGAAGCACCGGCUAACUACGUGCCAGCAGCCGCGGUGAUACGUAGGGUGCGAGCGUUGUCCGGAUUUAUUGGGCGUAAAGGGCUCGUAGGUGGUUGAUCGCGUCGGAAGUGUAAUCUUGGGGCUUAACCCUGAGCGUGCUUUCGAUACGGGUUGACUUGAGGAAGGUAGGGGAGAAUGGAAUUCCUGGUGGAGCGGUGGAAUGCGCAGAUAUCAGGAGGAACACCAGUGGCGAAGGCGGUUCUCUGGGCCUUUCCUGACGCUGAGGAGCGAAAGCGUGGGGAGCGAACAGGCUUAGAUACCCUGAUAGUCCACGCUGUAAACGGUGGGUACUAGGUGUGGGGUCCAUUCCACGGGUUCCGUGCCGUAGCUAACGCUUUAAGUACCCCGCCUGGGGAGUACGGCCGCAAGGCUAAAACUCAAAGGAAUUGACGGGGCCCCGCACAAGCGGCGGAGCAUGCGGAUUAAUUCGAUGCAACGCGUAGAACCUUACCUGGGUUUGACAUGGAUCGGGAGUGCUCAGAGAUGGGUGUGCCUCUUUUGGGGUCGGUUCACAGGUGGUGCAUGCCUGUCGUCAGCUCGUGUCGUGAGAUGUUGGGUUAAGUCCCGCAACGAGCGCAACCCUUGUUCACUGUUGCCAGCACGUUAUGGUGGGGACUCAGUGGAGACCGCCGGGGUCAACUCGGAGGAAGGUGGGGAUGACGUCAAGUCGUCAUGCCCCUUAUGUCCAGGGCUUCACGCAUGCUACAAUGGCUGGUACAGAGAGUGGCGAGCCUGUGAGGGUGAGCGAAUCUCGGAAAGCCGGUCUCAGUUCGGAUUGGGGUCUGCAACUCGACCUCAUGAAGUCGGAGUCGCUAGUAAUCGCAGAUCAGCAACGCUGCGGUGAAUACGUUCCCGGG
This 1343-nucleotide ribosomal RNA is filed under the name uncultured bacterium. RNAcentral's name for it is "16S ribosomal RNA". It matches the Rfam family "Bacterial small subunit ribosomal RNA", at positions 28 to 1378 of the family's 1533-position model. The record is from RNAcentral.